This 441-nucleotide ribosomal RNA is filed under the name uncultured bacterium. RNAcentral describes it as "bacterial SSU rRNA". It matches the Rfam family "Bacterial small subunit ribosomal RNA", at positions 338 to 795 of the family's 1533-position model. The record is from RNAcentral.
CCUACGGGGGGCUGCAGUGAGGAAUAUUGCGCAAUGGGCGAAAGCCUGACGCAGCGACGCCGCGUGGAGGAUGAAGGCCUUCGGGUUGUAAACUCCUGUCAGUGGGGAAGAGAACGGACGGUACCCACUGAGGAAGCUUCGGCUAACUACGUGCCAGCAGCCGCGGUAAGACGUAGGGAGCAAGCGUUGUCCGGAAUUACUGGGCGUAAAGAGCUCGUAGGCGGGAGCGUGCGUCUGAAAGGAAAUCUCAGGGCUCAACUCUGGGGCUUUUUCAGAUACGGCGCUUCUUGAGUGUAACAGAGGAAAGCAGAAUUCCCGGUGUAGCGGUGAAAUGCGUAGAUAUCGGGAGGAAUACCAGUGGCGAAGGCGGCUUUCUGGGUUACUACUGACGCUGAGGAGCGAAAGCGUGGGGAGCGAACGGGCUUAGAUACCCCGGUAGUC